Molecule: ribosomal RNA, 254 nt
Filed under: uncultured bacterium
Lineage: Bacteria
Description: partial 16S ribosomal RNA
Rfam family: Bacterial small subunit ribosomal RNA
Source: RNAcentral
UACAGAGGGUGCGAGCGUUAAUCGGAUUUACUGGGCGUAAAGGGCGCGUAGGCGGCCACCGCAAGUCGACUGUGAAAUCUCCGGGCUUAACCCGGAAAGGUCAGCCGAUACUGCGGGGCUAGAGUGCAGAAGGGGCAACUGGAAUUCUCGGUGUAGCGGUGAAAUGCGUAGAUAUCGAGAGGAACACCUGCGGCGAAGGCGGGUUGCUGGGCUGACACUGACGCUGAGGCGCGAAAGCUAGGGGAGCGAACGGG